CCUACGGGGGACUGCAGUGAGGAAUAUUGGUCAAUGGCCGGAAGGCUGAACCAGCCAUGCCGCGUGAAGGUCAGUGCCCUAUGGGCGUUAAACUUCUUUUGUGCGGGAGCAAUAAUGGUCACGUGUGGCCAGACGAGAGUACCGUACGAAUAAGCAUCGGCUAACUCCGUGCCAGCAGCCGCGGUAAUACGGGGGAUGCAAGCGUUAUCCGGAUUUAUUGGGUUUAAAGGGUGCGUAGGCUGUGAGGUAAGUCAGCGGUGAAAUGCCCCCGCUCAACGGGGUGAAGUGCCAUUGAUACUGCCUGGCUGGAAUGCGGAUGCGGUGGGAGGAAUGUGUGGUGUAGCGGUGAAAUGCAUAGAUAUCACACAGAACACCGAUUGCGAAGGCAUCUCACGAAUCCGCGAUUGACGCUGAUGCACGAAAGCGUGGGUAUCAAACAGGAUUAGAUACCCGAGUAGUC
RNAcentral lists this ribosomal RNA (460 nucleotides) under uncultured bacterium. RNAcentral's name for it is "partial 16S ribosomal RNA". It matches the Rfam family "Bacterial small subunit ribosomal RNA", at positions 338 to 795 of the family's 1533-position model. The record is from RNAcentral.